Long non-coding RNA from Cercocebus atys (sooty mangabey), 1705 nucleotides. RefSeq lists it as uncharacterized. The transcript is spliced from 3 exons. The record is from RefSeq and is a predicted model, not a curated record. NCBI's taxonomy places the organism in Eukaryota, Metazoa, Chordata, Mammalia, Primates, Cercopithecidae.
AGCAAAUUGCAACUCUAAUCUCACACUUGGCUUGGUUAGCAUGCACUUUGUAUUUCACCCCAAUUUUUUUGUUGUUGUUUUUUAACCUUUCCUUACUCAGCUUUAGGCCAGAACGUCCAGAUUCAAAGUUUUGGCACUGUCUUUGAGAGUCCUAUUUUCCCAGGGGAAACACAGCAGGAAAAUGUAAGUUGCCUUACCUAACAAAUCCUUCCAGUCAUGUACAACCUCAGAAGGGCAAACCAGUCUUCAUCAACAUGUUUUUGCUGUCUGGUGAAGUAUAAAAAGCGUGAAGCAGAAAGGCAGAUUGGAACACCUGUGGCUAUUAUGAAAACCACGCCACUUCCCAGCCUUGCGUGUUUUCUGCUCAGAAAGUAUGCACCUGUCAGCCACAGCUGAAAACCCAGCAAUCGAGGGCCCAGAGCUAGGGCUCAGAUGAGUUGACUGAGGAAUUAGAAGGAUUUCAAAAUAAGCCUAUUAAUUCUGUUGGAUUGAAAUAUCUUCCAUCUUCACACAGCCAAAGAUAGCUGAACUUUUGUUUGACAUUUUACACAGUGUCUUAUGCCUGCCUGAAAGAAAGGGUGCAGGUCUUCACAGAAUGGGGAAAGUCCAGAGAUGAUCUGGACUCCAAAGACAACAGCUUGGAUUCUGAGCUGUCACUUACCAGCCAAAAGGGAAUCCUGGCCCGGUCACUGAAGUUCCCUGAGUCUCAACUACCUUAUCUGUAAAAGGGUCUCAUCAGGCCCACAUUAGAUUAUCUAUUCGACCAUCAGUUCGAGCUCCAAGGUAAAGAUAUAGCGCAACCGGAACUUUCAUACACUGCUGCAACCACUGUGGAGACUAUCAGCUUUUUCCACUAAAGCUGAACAUUAUCGUCUAGAAAUUGCACUCCCAAGCAGGAUGAGACAGCAUCCACACGAAAAUAAUCCUCUACAGACUCUCCAAGCAUGUCCGCUGUAGGCAGGAGUUAUCCUACAACCUUCCCAUCCUGGGAGGAGAGGUAACACCCACCCACCCCAUUCCAUUCUGGCCUGCCCCCUCCUCUGGCGGCAGCGCCAGUCUCAGGUGAGAGCCACCCUGCUUGUUGCCAUUGUUCUGCAAGUGACAGCCUCGGGGGCAAAUGGAAAGCCGUCAACCUGAGGGCUGUCAACGGCAGACAAGAAUUCCUUUCUUUGUCAGGCUGGGUGGUCUUCGUGGCUUCAGCAUCAACCUGUGCAAAGAUGAUAAACAUCGUGUGUGCUUGCAGGAAAACAUCGCCACCACCCAACAACUCUAACCACACUCCUUUGUGAGGCCAAGAUUAGCCUGUAUGUGGCUUCCCUUGACUGUGUACAAAUCAUCAAGUCCCAGCCCCAGUGAGGGCAUCCAGAGGUCAUUUAUUCCAUGUCCCCCCAUGUAGUCCUCCGACCUGCUGCCUCAUGACAUUUAUUUGUACCAGAAUCUUAAUCGUAGACAGUUGGAUGAUCCCUUAGAGAUCUCCUGGUUCAACGCUCUCAGGCUACAAGAGGGGGUCCAGACACAGGCUGUGACUUGUCCAAGGUCACACAGCACAAGGACUAGGGCAGGGCAAGAACCCAUGUCCUGCAAGCCUUCCCCUUUCGAGUAUCCUUCCCACUACUCCAAGCUGCUUUUGUUAAUGUCACCCUCACCCCCAAGGUGCCAUGUAGUGUAAUUUCUAACUUUCCAAUAAAAAAGGAGUGUGUGUGUG